This 179-nucleotide non-coding RNA is filed under the name Pseudomonadota bacterium. RNAcentral describes it as "Proteobacteria bacterium 6S RNA". It matches the Rfam family "6S / SsrS RNA". From Rfam's summary of the family: E. coli 6S RNA was the first non coding RNA to be sequenced, but its function was unknown until recently. It consists of 184 nucleotides that fold into an extended hairpin structure with a large single-stranded internal bulge. The record is from RNAcentral. Lineage: Bacteria; Pseudomonadati; Pseudomonadota.
GGUUAUCUGGGAUACUCGUGAUGGAAUGGAUAAAUCCUUGAGCCUAAUAUUUUAUCCGGGGAGCAAUGUUUUGUUUCUGUGUGCAUGACUGCAUGACGGUAAGCCUAAUGAAUCGGAGCGCGCACCCACUUGAACCUUUGGUUCAAGGCUGAAGUUCUACACGACUUUUUGGAGCCGUC